AUACGUAGGGUGCAAGCGUUAAUCGGAAUUACUGGGCGUAAAGCGUGCGCAGGCGGUUUUGUAAGACAGUGGUGAAAUCCCCGGGCUCAACCUGGGAACUGCCAUUGUGACUGCAAGGCUGGAGUGCGGCAGCGGGGGAUGGAAUUCCGCGUGUAGCAGUGAAGUGCGUAGAUAUGCGGAGGAACACCGAUGGCGAAGGCAAUCCCCUGGGCCUGCACUGACGCUCAUGCACGAAAGCGUGGGGAGCAAACAGGAUUAGACACCCUGGUAGUCCGCGCCCUAAACGAUGUCAACUGGUUGUUGGGGAUUUAUUUUCUCAGUAACGAAGCUAACGCGUGAAGUUGACCGCCUGGGGAGUACGGCCGCAAGGUUAAAACUUAAAGGAAUUGACGGGG
RNAcentral lists this ribosomal RNA (395 nucleotides) under uncultured bacterium. Its description in RNAcentral is "partial 16S ribosomal RNA". It matches the Rfam family "Bacterial small subunit ribosomal RNA", at positions 523 to 918 of the family's 1533-position model. The record is from RNAcentral.